CUUCUAUUUGCAUUUUUUUAGAUAUGCAGGAAAGCAACCUAUGUAAUUUUAUAUUAUUUUUGUGCUAAUAUUUGUAGUUUUUUUAUAAGGAAUAUUCUUGCGGGUAAGAUUUUAAGUACAUGGAUUGUAUAUCUACUCCACCAGCAAUUGAUGGCCCCCUCCACCGCCGACUCGUCCACGGUCUCCCAACCUCGCUUAACUGUGCUGGCUAAGGGUGAUUGUGUGAAACAGACACUCUUGAAAAAUCUUUCCAGAUGUGAUGGUAUGCAAAAUUGACGCUCUUGAAAAAUCCUUCCUAGGAACGUACCCUCCCCUUCAUGGUCUACAAGACAUGCCUCGAUCGGGUGUAGGGGCGGAGCUGGCCCUUCUUACCAGGGUCAGCUGACCCGAUGGAGUUCUAAAUUCCUUAACUAAAAUCACUGUUCAUCACUAAUUUAAGUAUGUUCGACCCCGUCAUUUAAAAUAGCUGACCCCAGUGGCCUUUCAGUCUGGCUUCGCCCCUGAUCGGGUGGGAUGCGGUGGCAGCUGAUGGUGUUGCAAUGCUAGCGAUGCAGUGGUGCAGGUGGGGGAUCACACGAUGGAGGUGCAGCAGACGGGACAGGCCGCGCGACAAGGUGUGUAGCAAGCAGGACCGCCUGAUACUGGACGAGAUCAACAAGAUUGCUUCAAUAGCACUGAGCCUGAAUGUUCCUGGGCAAAUUUUUAUGAUCUUGAAGAAAGUCCAUCCCCGAGUCUUUGCGAGCACGCAUGAUGUUGAGCUUCAAGAAUUUCAAUGACUCAUUCAUGGAGCAAUAUGAGGGCUACUCUAGAAUGUAAAAAGGAACACACAACAUAGAAGACCCGGCUGUCAGAUUCUCCAUUUCAGUAUCAAUGCUAUCGAGCAUUUCCAAGGACAUUAAUUGAAAAUUACUUGUAGCUCGUUUAAAUGACACGACACGACUCGGCUGCCAAGUUUUGUGUCUCAAGUGAGGCGCCUGUGCUUCCCGAUCGGUAUUCGUACAUUUAUCGAUGAGAAAAUCCGGGCUAGCUAGCAAGCAAAAGAUGGCUGUCUGGGCAUGGGUAACCUGUCGAUAAACAUAAGUCUAUAACAUGGCAAUACGAGUGUAUAUCAUGCAUAUUGCCUUGGAAUGUUAAGUCCUCUGAUCGCUUGGUAUAUAUCGUGCUACAAAA
Setaria italica (foxtail millet) is the source of this 1170-nucleotide long non-coding RNA. RefSeq lists it as uncharacterized. The transcript is spliced from 4 exons. The record is from RefSeq and is a predicted model, not a curated record. Lineage: Eukaryota; Viridiplantae; Streptophyta; Magnoliopsida; Poales; Poaceae.